AACAAAUGAGGAUGCUCUCUUUGAGGUGUCUAUUCAACAAAUGAUGCAGCAUUUUGGCAUUACUAGAAGAUAAAGGUUUUUUAUGUACAAGUAUCUAGGUUAAUUCUUACUUGAGAAUACGGGGCUACUUGUUAAGUGUUUUUUCAGUUUUUAGCUUGUCAAAACACUUGGACAUGGUUAGUAGGCUAUCUGAAUAUGCAAAAACUGAAGAAACUAAUUUAUGUUGUGGUCGAUACACUGCGUAUAGCUGCACAAACACACCGGUAUGAAGUCAUUAAGGCACACACGCACACGCACACGCACACACACGAUCGAUGCACGCUGUAUUUUCAUGCACUAUUUUUUCUUGCUACAUGGUUGUUUGUUUUGUUUCUAACGCCCACACACAUACUACUAUGAACUGAUGUAGCUAUCUGUUCACUGAGUUUUCUCCAAGACCAGCAACACAGAAGUUGUCCUACGAUGGGAAAUCAGGAGGAGUAUCAUGUAACUACAACCGCGCAGAGAAAGGGAUGAUGUGCUAUCUGAAAUAGGCAAAUUUUCUGGACACACACAAGGGGAUGGGUUUGGCCAGCAACAAACAAACAAGCCUAGAGGUCGUCCGGGAUCAGGAGGUAGGAAGCAAUUUUAGUUGUGUGUGUCAGAGGUAGGGGGGUGGGGGUCAUAAUGUAUGAUGAUGUCAUAUUAGAUGUGAGGUAUUAUCUUACAUCUAGAUGUGACAUAGUUGGACCCCGAAUUUAUUCAGACAAGAAAAAAAAUCGCAGCCCAUGGCCUAUGGAGCACGAAUUUCACCGACUUUCUGUUAGGAAAUAGGUGCUUUUCGGUUAGUCUUAAUUCAGAUUAGCAUCAUCACAAGAUUACUGACAUAGAAAACCUCAUAUGGAAAAUUAGGAACAUCUAGCAUGUAAACGUAUGGACUAAAAAUACAUGUCAACAAAGAGAUAUUCAAAACAUACACGUUCAUCAGAAACUCCUGGUAGACAUUGUGGAUGUAGUCAAACUUGAACGAGUAAUCUUGCCAAGACGCUUCCCAAAAACCUUACACCUCUCAUCCGGUUCAGGUUCUCAAGGGACGCGGUUUCAAAGGCCAGCUCUCUUGGAGAACUAUACGCACGCAACCACUCGGACUAGGAACUCCACUAGAGUGUGUAUGUUUUGUGUACUGCUAUGUGUUCUGCAUGUAACCUUUCUCCUCUGCAUCUCCUUUACAUAAAGCAGACGCGUGAAAGAGUGAAGACAUGUAAUUGGCACAUGAUGGAAGUAUUCUUUAGGGGCGGGUUUGGUUCCCUGCAUUAGGCCCAGCCUAGCCCGUGCGGGAAGAAAAUGGUCCGUUUGGUUGCCUGCGUUUACUGUGCGGCCUGCAUGGCACGAACCUUAAAGCAACUCCAGGCCAGACCCAGGGGGAACACCCGAAUCGGCAGUAGCUCGCGAGCCUCGCUCAAGUGACGCAGGGGAGGGCGACACGCUUCUCUCCUCAUGCGACCAGGGAGAUGGCGUGAGCUCGCUCGCGUCGCCGAAAAAUCGGCGGGAGGAUUUCGGCUCACCUUCCGCCGAGUCCGCCCCUAUUUAGCCCCCUCCCUCACCGCCCCAACUCCCGCCACCAUUGUCCCCCCUUUCGAGCUUUCCCACCGACGCGCAUCGGCACCGACGAGCAGGUAAGCGGCGCAUCUUCAUCGGCCGACGGUCCACGGCGUUGGCGGUCCUUCACCGACCGGCGGUGAUCUUCUACGACUGUUCCCCCUCGUCUUCGAUCUGCAUCCAUGGCAUCUCUGAGUUCAAUCCCCCUUUCUCUCUGUUCCUUCUAGCUAGAUCUGAGCUCCAGCUAGGGUUUGAUGUACAUGCAUGGUUGAUUAGUGCUCUGAUCUGUGAGCUCAUAUCGUUGAUUGCUAUGCUCCGGUUGCAAUUUGUGGCGGGGUUAGAUGUUCAAGCAUAUGGUAGGCUAGAUUAGUAGUAGAGUUUGAAGUUGAACCUUGUGCUUGUGUUUAUUCGUGCUUAGAUUUGUGAUUUGUAGCUAUUGGUGGUUCAUUUGUAGCAUGCUCUUUGUUGUAGAUGUAUGUUCCUUCUUAUAAUUGUGCGGUAUGCUUAGUAUGUACUUGUAUGCUCCUGCUUUCAUGGAUUGUCCGGCAUGUUUUGUGCUAUGCUUACUGUCAAUGUGUGCUACGAUUGUAGGACAUGACCACACAGACGCAAGAUUUAGUCAGGCCCUUGUUCUGUCGGACAGCCAGUUCCCUCCAUCGUUUGUCGAGGACUCGCAACCUAUGUCCGAGAUGGCACCUGAUUCAGAGGUGUUCGCGUCUAAUUCUGUCUAUGUACCAGUAGUGCUCAUUCAACAAACUCAUCCUGCUGCUAUUACUGCAACAGCAAAGGCAACGAAGGAUGGUAGGUCAAACAACAUGAAGUGGCAGCCAUUCAUGUCCACGUUCGUGUUGAACAAGAUGUGUGAGCUCAUCUCUAGUGGAGUUAGGACUGACAAGGGCUUCAAGGAGGUGCACUUGAACAUCGUUGCGAAGCAAGUGUUCGAGUUCUGUGGGCAGGACGUGUCCGCCACCCAGAUGUACAACCACCUGAGGAAGUGGAGAAGUCGAUGGAUCCAAGUGUCCAAGCUGGGAGACCUUAGCGGCGCCUCAUGGGAUGAGAACACUUGCUCCAUAGUUCUAGAGGCAAAGCGCUACGCCGGCCAUGUCGCGGUUAGCUCACAACCCUCUUCCUUUUCAUAAUCUCCACCAUUGCCUACUCCUAAUCGCAACUAACAACACUUGUGUUUCAUUCUUAGGACCACCCAAGGGACGCUGAGUUCCUCAACACACCCAUACAAAACUACAGCCAGAUGCAGCACAUCUUCUCCUUCGGGCUCGCAACAGGGAAGCAUGCCAUGGGCUUGGGGGAGCCUCUUGGUUCUCCCAUGCCAGACUUCCCUGCGACCCCGGGUGUCGAGGUCAUUGAUGGCCCUGACAAGCACUUCGAGAAGCCCUUCGACAAGCCCUUCGACAAGCUCUUCGAGAAGCCCUUCGAAAAUCCCUUUGACCCCGUCCAUGAUAGGAAGAGGAAGAGAGGAGGCCUGAUGGAGGAGGAGAUCAAUGUCUUUUGCAGUAUGACUAAGGCGGUGAAGGAGGUGGCAACAACCAUCACGGAGUGCAAGCCCCUCGACGUCCACCCUGGCCCGUAUGGCGUUGUCAUGACCCAGGGUGGCUUCAGCGACGAGGCUCUCAUGGCAGCUCUCAGCCACCUGCUUGACAACAAGGCCCAGGGUGUUAGGUUCGUUGCCAUGACAGACGCUCACAGGGUGAUGUGGCUGAGGAGCUGGCUGGGCAAGCACUAGUACUAGAGUAGUGCUGCCUGUGAGCGUGCAUGAUCCCCGACGGCGAUGGCGAUGACGGUGGCGACGACGAUGACGACGUACAUUUUGUGUGGCUAGGGCUGGAAAACUAUUUGAUGGUUUGUAUAUUUUGAUGAGGUGGUAUAUACUAACCCCUCACGAUGAUGGUGAACUUGCGAUGGUAGGACGACACCCUCUUUUAGAUGUGGUGGUAGGAUAACAUGAUGGUAGUGCUAUGUAGAACUUGCUAUGCCGUAUGAUUAUGCAUGCUUUACUUUUUCUCUUCUACUUGUGUGCUUCGUUGAUUUGCUGCUUCAACUCUUGAUCUUGUGCAUUGCUAGGGCAAGUGGUAUACCGUGUUCAUCGGUAAGGCUCCAGGGGUUUACAGUUCAUGG
Molecule: long non-coding RNA, 3711 nt
Filed under: Hordeum vulgare
Lineage: Eukaryota; Viridiplantae; Streptophyta; Magnoliopsida; Poales; Poaceae
Description: long non-coding RNA (HVUL_LNC008743)
Source: RNAcentral